RNAcentral lists this ribosomal RNA (505 nucleotides) under uncultured bacterium. RNAcentral describes it as "bacterial SSU rRNA". It matches the Rfam family "Bacterial small subunit ribosomal RNA", at positions 46 to 525 of the family's 1533-position model. The record is from RNAcentral.
GGAUUAGGCAUGCAAGUCGAACGCGAAAGUAGGAGCAAUCCUACAAGUAGAGUGGCGAACGGGUGAGUAACGCGUGAGAAACCUGCCUUCAACAGGGGGAUAACAUUCCUAACGGGAUGCUAAUACCGCAUGAGACCACGGGAUCGCAUGAUCCUGAGGUCAAAGGUGGCCUCUAUUUAUAAGCUACCGGUUGAAGAUGGUCUCGCGUCCCAUUAGCUAGUUGGCGGUGUAAAAGACCACCAAGGCGACGAUGGGUAGCUGGUCUGAGAGGAUGGUCUGCCACACUGGGACUGAGAUACGGCCCAGACUCCUACGGGAGGCAGCAGUCGAGAGGCUUCGGCAAUGGGGGAAACCCUGACCGAGCGACGCCGCGUGAAGGAUGAAGGCCCUUGGGUUGUAAACUUCUUUUGUCAGCGAAGAAAUGCGAUCAGGUGAAUAAUCUGGUCGCUUGACGGUAGCUGACGAAUAAGCUCCGGCUAACUCCGUGCCAGCAGCCGCGGUAAUA